CAGUUAACCAUGCUUUGCCACAUCCCUCUCCACCUCAGCAAUCUAUCUGGAGGAGAAGCAGCUUCUCAAAAAGGAAGGGCUCAGGUGGGCCACUCUACGAAAACAUCCUUCCACUCGGAAGGAGAGGUGGUGGCAGAUAUGAAAUGAGGGAUGGCGGUGGGAGAAGAGGACGUCGUCCUCCUCCCCUUCCUCUGCCUAUACCUGUGCCUCUCUCUUCCCCAACACAGACUCCGCCCUCACCUUCUCCAUCUAUAUGCUACACAUCCACUUCGUCCAGCAGCUCCAGCACCUCCAGUUCAUCCUCUUCUUCAGAAUCAGUCUCCCGAUCCAAUUCUCCUUCAUCUUCAUCAUCGUACACAUCAUCCCAGAGCUUUAGAUACAGAGCAGAUGUACGAGAUGUGUAUGAGGACUAUGACACAGAUGAGCUUACGGAGGAGUCGAGCUUGCUUUUGGGGAGGAGAAAAAGUCGUUCACGUAUGUCCUCUCGAUCCCUGCCCAGCAGUCCUCCACCCCCACCUAUACCACCCCGCAAACCUUGCGGACAGAGGGCGCAGGUGAGAGACAGAGCAGGCAGCCAGAUUGCACAGCUUCAAGAGUGGUGGGCCUCUUGGGGAGAGAAAGAAAAGGCUAGAAGAGCAGCUGGAGAUAGAGAUGUUAAGGAGGAGAAACGACAUCAUAAAGAAAGGGAAAGAGAGAGAAAGAGGAGGAAGAAGGGUAGAAAGAAAAAGAAGAGAGAAGAGCGUGAAAGAGAAAGGGAACGUAAAAGACGUAAGGUGAAAAAGAAAAAGAAAAAAGAGGAGAAAUCAAGAAGAAGGGAGAGGGAAAAACGAUCUGAACAAGAGGAGGUAGAUAUGGACAGGAAAGAAGUCUUUGAAAAAGGUAUAGGACAGGAAUACUCUUCUUAUCCUGCUCCGAGGCGAAGCUCUUUCCGAAAAAAGAGCGAAAGCUCUACAAGGAGUUAUGAGUGGGAUAUUAUCCGAGAUGCAGUUAAGAGAGAUAGGGAUGAUCAAGGUGGAGAAGAUGAAGAAGGCAGUAGAGGAAAGGAAAGGCAUCAGAGAAGCCCAAAAUCACAACGCCACUCCAGGCCAAGGUCCAACAACAAGCAUUUUUCUAGCUCAAACAAACCUUCUUCAACUGUCAAAUUUUGGAGUUGUGGGAACCCAACUUCUGAUUCGCCAUCGUCUUUUGUACCCUUGCUUCCCAUAUCUAAAAGACGAAAGUCUGUAGGAGCUGAGAGAGACGAGCGAGGAAGAGGUGGAGAGAGUCGGCCCCUUUUGGGAAAAAACAAGAGAGUUAAGCCUUGCUCGAGAGAAGGCCUGUCAUUUCACGAAUGGGAUUCAGAGGAAGAAGGAGAUGAGGAGUCUGAAGUGGAAAGAAGCAGGCCAGAAGAACAGGGGCGACGACGAGAAAGC
RNAcentral lists this long non-coding RNA (1412 nucleotides) under Sinocyclocheilus grahami. RNAcentral's name for it is "lncRNA (ENSSGRG00000053952.1)". Lineage: Eukaryota; Metazoa; Chordata; Actinopteri; Cypriniformes; Cyprinidae. The record is from RNAcentral.